This 234-nucleotide ribosomal RNA is filed under the name uncultured bacterium. Its description in RNAcentral is "partial 16S ribosomal RNA". It matches the Rfam family "Bacterial small subunit ribosomal RNA", at positions 28 to 253 of the family's 1533-position model. The record is from RNAcentral.
GACGAACGCUGGCGGCGUGCUUAACACAUGCAAGUCGAGCGGUAAGGCCCUUUCGGGGUACGACGAGCGGCGAACGGGUAGGAGUAACACGUGGGUGGACCUCGCCCUCCAGCUCUGGGAGUAAGCCUCGGGAAACGUAGGGUCGUAAUACUGGAUAUGACUCCACGGUGCAUGUCGUGGGGUGGAAAGCCUUGUGCGGCUGAGGAUGGGCCCGCGGCCUAUCAGCUUGUUGGU